Molecule: long non-coding RNA, 173 nt
Organism: Mobula hypostoma (lesser devil ray)
Lineage: Eukaryota; Metazoa; Chordata; Chondrichthyes; Myliobatiformes; Myliobatidae
Exons: 3
Source: RefSeq, a predicted model, not a curated record
CUGGCAAAGGCGGAGGAACAGCUGCAGGAUGAAGACAGCUCUCAGUUCCUGCAGGGAUUUUCAGAGCUGAGGUGUUCACAAGACCUGCAGCCUUUAUCUGAAGAUCUCUCUCUGGACUUACCAAAAGGCCUUUUAAAGUACAGUUUGUGGAAAAAGUUGGGAGCUGUCAUCAG